RNAcentral lists this ribosomal RNA (454 nucleotides) under uncultured bacterium. Its description in RNAcentral is "bacterial SSU rRNA". It matches the Rfam family "Bacterial small subunit ribosomal RNA", at positions 1 to 507 of the family's 1533-position model. The record is from RNAcentral.
ACGUAGUUGAUCAGUGGCNCAGAACAACGCUGGCGGCAUGCCUAACACAUGCAAGUCGAACGAGACCUUCGGGUCUAGUGGCGCACGGGUGCGUAACGCGUGGGAAUCUGCCCUUAGGUUCGGAAUAACUUCGGGAAACUGAAGCUAAUACCGGAUGAUGACGUAAGUCCAAAGAUUUAUCGCCUAAGGAUGAGCCCGCGUUGGAUUAGCUAGUUGGUGAGGUAAAGGCUCACCAAGGCGACGAUCCAUAGCUGGUCUGAGAGGAUGAUCAGCCACACUGGGACUGAGACACGGCCCAGACUCCUACGGGAGGCAGCAGUGGGGAAUAUUGGACAAUGGGCGAAAGCCUGAUCCAGCAAUGCCGCGUGAGUGAUGAAGGCCUUAGGGUUGUAAAGCUCUUUUACCCGGGAUGAUAAUGACAGUACCGGGAGAAUAAGCUCCGGCUAACUCCGUG